CCCUACGGGGCGCAGCAGUGGGGAAUAUUGGGCAAUGGGCGAAAGCCUGAUGGAGCAACGCCGCGUGGGUGAAGAAGGUCUUCGGAUCGUAAAACCCUGUUGUUAGAGAAGAAAGUGCGUGAGAGUAACUGUUCACGUUUCGACGGUAUCUAACCAGAAAGCCACGGCUAACUACGUGCCAGCAGCCGCGGUAAUACGUAGGUGGCAAGCGUUAUCCGGAUUUAUUGGGCGUAAAGGGAACGCAGGCGGUCUUUUAAGUCUGAUGUGAAAGCCUUCGGCUUAACCGGAAUAGGGCAUUGGAAACU
This 305-nucleotide ribosomal RNA is filed under the name uncultured bacterium. Its description in RNAcentral is "bacterial SSU rRNA". It matches the Rfam family "Bacterial small subunit ribosomal RNA", at positions 337 to 634 of the family's 1533-position model. The record is from RNAcentral.